CCUACGGGAGGCUGCAGUAGGGAAUAUUGCUCAAUGGGGGAAACCCUGAAGCAGCAACGCCGCGUGGAGGAUGAAGGUUUUCGGAUUGUAAACUCCUUUUGUUAGAGAAGAUAAUUACGGUAUCUAACGAAUAAGCCCCGGCUAACUCCGUGCCAGCAGCCGCGGUAAUACGGAGGGUGCAAGCGUUACUCGGAAUCACUGGGCGGAAAGAGCGCGUAGGCGGGAUAGCAAGUCAGAUGUGAAAUCCUAUGGCUUAACCAUAGAACUGCAUUUGAAACUGUUAUUCUAGAGUAUGGGAGAGGUAGGUGGAAUUCUUGGUGUAGGGGUAAAAUCCGUAGAGAUCAAGAGGAAUACUCAUUGCGAAGGCGACCUGCUAGAACAUAACUGACGCUGAUGCGCGAAAGCGUGGGGAGCAAACAGGAUUAGAUACCCGAGUAGUC
Molecule: ribosomal RNA, 440 nt
Filed under: uncultured bacterium
Lineage: Bacteria
Description: partial 16S ribosomal RNA
Rfam family: Bacterial small subunit ribosomal RNA
Source: RNAcentral